CGUAACACAUUGGUAAUCUACUUUCAUCUCGAGUAUAACCCCGCGAAAGCGGGGACAAUCCUCGAUAGUCAUGAGGGGACAAAAGUCAUUCUCAUGUAAAGAUUUAUCGGAUGAAAAGGAGCCUAUGGCCCAUCAGCUUGUUGGUAGGGUAAUGGCCUACCAAGGCUCUGACGGGUAGCGGGUGUGAGAGCACGACCCGCCUCACUGGGACUGAGACACUGCCCAG
This 226-nucleotide ribosomal RNA is filed under the name uncultured bacterium. Its description in RNAcentral is "partial 16S ribosomal RNA". It matches the Rfam family "Bacterial small subunit ribosomal RNA", at positions 109 to 334 of the family's 1533-position model. The record is from RNAcentral.